Molecule: small nucleolar RNA, 127 nt
Organism: Mesocricetus auratus (golden hamster)
Lineage: Eukaryota; Metazoa; Chordata; Mammalia; Rodentia; Cricetidae
Source: Ensembl
AGUACUUAGGUGUGUUUUUGUUCAACUGGCAGACAAAUUCAGUCAAGACAGGUUCAAUACAAAUCCUUUCUUGACACCCAGAAUUCACUACUCACUCUGAGUUUUGAUGCAUACAAGAAGGAAUAUG